GGGUAUGUUUUGGGAUGUCUAAUUAUAGGUGCAAGGGCUCCAAUUGUUGGCGCCUAAUGGGCUUCCUAAUGUAAGUUGGAUAACUUAAGUUAAUAGGAAUCAUAAUGCAAGUAGGACUUGUAUUAUGAGUUUGAAUAGGAUUUAAUCCUUAUGCCUACUUAAAGGGACCUCCCCUAAGGUCCUUAGAGCAUCAAAACCAAUAGUCCCUCACACCCAAAGGCUCUCCCCGCUCCCUCUCUUACUCUCCCUUUCUCUCUUCUUAGGUGUUCUAUACAUCCCUUCCUUGGGACGUGCGUCCCAAGGAGUUUCAUGUCCAAAGAAGUUUGGGUGCCUCUUUCUUGUUGGUUUCUAAUAUCUGAUAGUAGUACAUAGCAAGAAAAAACUCUAGAGAAGAGGAAAAGAAGAAGAUCAAGAAGAAAAAUCAAGUGUUGAUCGUGAUCCAGAUUUUAUUCAGAUUCAGCAGGCUGAAUUUUGGAGAACC
RNAcentral lists this long non-coding RNA (481 nucleotides) under Elaeis guineensis (African oil palm). Its description in RNAcentral is "long non-coding RNA (EGUI_LNC061899)". Lineage: Eukaryota; Viridiplantae; Streptophyta; Magnoliopsida; Arecales; Arecaceae. The record is from RNAcentral.